Molecule: long non-coding RNA, 249 nt
Organism: Oryctolagus cuniculus (rabbit)
Lineage: Eukaryota; Metazoa; Chordata; Mammalia; Lagomorpha; Leporidae
Source: RefSeq, a predicted model, not a curated record
ACCACGCAUGCGCCGCUGCUGCCCUGUUGUGGGAACUUGACUCAAGGGCACGGAAAUGGUUUUUCCACCUGCCCAACGAGGUCUGCCUCUCCUAAGAUGAGCUCAAGUCUAAAGUCAUACACAGCCAGGCCAGAGGCUUCAGAAUGGUGAAAAGAAGCUUGUGGCUCCUUUUGACUCUUGUGGUUGAAGGACAAACUAUCCUACACAGCCUGCACAGUGGAAGAAUGUAAAUAAAAAUGUGAAAAGAAA